RNAcentral lists this ribosomal RNA (619 nucleotides) under Rhizopus arrhizus. RNAcentral's name for it is "eukaryotic LSU rRNA". The stretch from base 214 to 367 matches the Rfam family "5.8S ribosomal RNA". The record is from RNAcentral. Lineage: Eukaryota; Fungi; Mucoromycota; Mucoromycetes; Mucorales; Rhizopodaceae.
GACCUGCGGAAGGAUCAUUAAUUAUGUUAAAGCGCCUUACCUUAGGGUUUCCUCUGGGGUAAGUGAUUGCUUCUACACUGUGAAAAUUUGGCUGAGAGACUCAGACUGGUCAUGGGUAGACCUAUCUGGGGUUUGAUCGAUGCCACUCCUGGUUUCAGGAGUACCCUUCAUAAUAAACCUAGAAAUUCAGUAUUAUAAAGUUUAAUAAAAAACAACUUUUAACAAUGGAUCUCUUGGUUCUCGCAUCGAUGAAGAACGUAGCAAAGUGCGAUAACUAGUGUGAAUUGCAUAUUCAGUGAAUCAUCGAGUCUUUGAACGCAGCUUGCACUCUAUGGUUUUUCUAUAGAGUACGCCUGCUUCAGUAUCAUCACAAACCCACACAUAACAUUUGUUUAUGUGGUGAUGGGUCGCAUCGCUGUUUUAUUACAGUGAGCACCUAAAAUGUGUGUGAUUUUCUGUCUGGCUUGCUAGGCAGGAAUAUUACGCUGGUCUCAGGAUCUUUUUUUUUGGUUCGCCCAGGAAGUAAAGUACAAGAGUAUAAUCCAGUAACUUUCAAACUAUGAUCUGAAGUCAGGUGGGAUUACCCGCUGAACUUAAGCAUAUCAAAAGCCGGAGGGAA